Molecule: long non-coding RNA, 343 nt
Filed under: Chinchilla lanigera (long-tailed chinchilla)
Lineage: Eukaryota; Metazoa; Chordata; Mammalia; Rodentia; Chinchillidae
Description: lncRNA (ENSCLAG00000028130.1)
Source: RNAcentral
GCUUCCUGAAGCCUCCUCUGUCUGGUUUGCUAAUAUCAGCAAGUUUCCUUGGUGGCGGAGGAGUUGGGAACCGAAAACAAGUCACGACCCAAUUAAGUGAUCCUAGAAUCUGAAACAGCGCCAGCUGCCAUGGAACAAAGCCGUUUUCAGGGACUGGAGGGCCCCCUAAGGAAAUCAGGGCAAAGCAGAUUCCUUGCGGGAGUGUACAGAUGUUAGAUCUUAUGGAAGCAUGCGUGUACGGCACCCAGGCCAGUAUAUGAGACUAAAAAGAAGAAUGUAGGAAGAAGAGGAUACAAAAUGCAAAGGUAAAGAUAAACUAAAGUAGGAAAGGGCAAACCCCAGG